UAGUCUCUGGAAAGUGGCUGUCCAAAUCAGUUCUUACAACGCCGGAAUCCGAGCAAGCUUUGAGACGCUGUGGUCGUUUGUCUUGUUGCGGCCGACUUGGAGCACUACUUCAUCAGAUCACAGAAGACCUGCGACUGCUGUGUAGGCCUCUGCAGAGCAAAUGAUCGGAGCAGGAUGGAUGGGACUAUAGUGAGGAAAUUCUGAAGUUCAUAGUUUAAAUUCCUGUAAAUUCUUAAAAUCACAAAUUUUAAGGAAUUGGGGAGUAUUUCAAGGGCAGGAAACAUUAGCUUUGUGUGUGUGUGUGUGUGUGUGUGUGUGUCACUCAGAACGUUGUACUGUGCAAAGGAAGUGGAACAAGGUCCAGGCAAUAAACUGAGUAAGGAAGUCCUGUGUGAGCCUGCAACGACGUGAGCACAGAACACCCGGAGGCAGUUUCCUUCUCUUUCCAAGGUCACCUCUUCUUCAGGUACUUGAAACUGUGAUCUCUAACCACACUCCUUAAGUGGGGGUUUUAACUGCAUCUGUCCCACGUCUGAGAUCACAUUUGUACCUCUGUCAUCGUCCUGGAAAUUUCCGUUCCAGCGAUCGAUUACCACGUGUUUUGUUUUAUUCCUCCAUCGGGCUUCAGUUUUGAAUUCCACAAAUCCUGAUUCAACCUCAACCUAAUGAAAGAAGGUGCCACGCCUUUCUUAGUUGCUACUCUGGAUAGUGAAGGCUUUAAGGCUUUUAGCAAUAGAGGCAGGGCAGAGGAGGCAAAGUGGGCAGAUGAUUGGCCAAAAAAACCAGCUUUUGGCUACCCUACCCCAGGGGUCUGAAAGUGACCCUAGGAAAGAGCCCUCCACAAGCUGAACUCUCCGACAGUCCCUGCGGCCCAUCAGUGAGUCACUGCCAUGAGGAGGGCAAGAGUAUGCUCUGAUUGUCCCACCCAGGGCCACGGAGCAGCAAUCCCGCUGGAGCAAUCUUGGUUCUACUGGAAGAUGACUCUGCCAUGAGUGACAGCCCCAGACCCGAGGAGCUCCAGGAGUCGAGAUCGCGUCACCCUCCACAUAGCAGGCACCUGAGCCUUGCAGCCAUCUGAGAGUUGAAGAUGGGCCUCCUGCUUUCAUCUUCAGACUCUGCUGUUCCAUCACACUGGGAGGAGAUGCUGCAUUGACAACUUCAUCUGGGACCUCAGACCCACGUGUUCCAAGGAAAGUCCACCGGAGAAUGUGAUGAGCCCACGUGGACCCUUGGAAGCAGCAGCAGGAACAGCUGUCUUCUGAGGCCCCUGCCAAGGGGCCUGAGAUUCAUGCACCAGAGACCUAAAGUAGAGAUUUCUCACCCACCCUGCCGUGAACCUUCCAAGUCACCAUAUGGCGCUUCCUGUUCUCCUGUGAGCCCCUCCCAUGAUGGUCCCUGGUGGGGAGGCCACAGCCCUAGGAAGGUUUGAGAACAGAGUCGUAGAAUGGAUCCAAGAACAAACGGUAUGGCCAAGACACAGAUGUGCUCCUGCACCCUUCCAGCAGACCCUCACACCAGCCCAGGCUGGACCCAAAAGGCCUGAGCAGUCCUCUUCUCUUUCGAGGGGGGUUUAGGAUAGAUGGCUCUGUCAGAGUCUUUCUCACGGUUUGGGAAUAAACAUACUUUCUCAGUACCCUCAAGCAGGAAAAUCUAAAGCAAGCAAUGCAAAAGCAAGUAUCAAAGACUCCAACAAUACUUCCUGAUGAACAACUUCCACGAAUUUUUCAGACCUGCUUUCUUUGCCUGAUAUAUCUGAGUUUUCUGCCUGAGGGUGAAAAAGCUGUCACCAAUGCAGUGUCCUUGAUCAAUUACCCUGCAACAGAAACCACAAAACCACAAGCUCACCCCAUCCUGGAGAAAGGAAGGGAACAUGUCACCAUUUCUACUUAUAUUAGGAUAUGGUUCCACAUAUCUUUGUUACCUGCUUGAACCUCCCUUAAGAAGGAAAAGAAGGAGAUCAUUUGCCUCAGAAACUGCUAAAUGUAAGGAAAAGGCCCUAUCAGUGGUCAAAUUCCAUCCAGAUGACAUACUUGGCCCAGUGGUGCCUUGAAUUUUAAAGCAUUUCAGAAGGAGCAGCAGUUCACAUAAUAGUUUUCUCUCUGGCUGUGGGUGUAGCAUGCCCUAGAAGCCGUGUUGGUGCAGGGUCACACUGGGGAGUCCCUGGAACCAUGCAGUCGGCCCCUCACGUGAGAGCAGAUCCCUCUGCCCUCCCGCAGGGCUGGGGAACACAUCUUCUGAGCAUGGCAGGGCAGCUUGGCUUUCCAGACUCAGGACAGUUCACACCAAGCAUGGGGCAAAAAUAACCUCGAUUUUUAUAGUCUAGUAUUUUUUUUCCAAAGCCUUGGCCCAUAAUCUUAUUAAAUGUAACGGUUCAAAAUAAGUUUCUCUGGGAAACUUUGAAAACUAGGCAGCAAGAAAGCCACCGACGAAGUCUGACAUGGUUCCUCUGCUGACCCCCUGGAAGUCGAUGUUCCCAGUCCCCCUCUCCAGGAAGGGAUGUUUCCUUGAUCUCUCUGCCUGAAUGAGGACAGACAGCCACACUUAGCUUGUUGGAAACUCAGCGAGCUCCUGAGUCUCUGUGAACGACGACCCACCUGUUGUCUCAGUCCGCAGACGGCCUCUGCUCUGGGCAGAAGAUGUGGCAGAUCAUGGCAGAAGAGUAUGGCGGGGGAAAGUGGCUCAGAACAGAGCACUGGGUAGGGGAGACAGAGAGAGAAACUCUCCUCGCCACGGACAAGAUAUAUACCCGUAAGACAGCUCCCAGUGGCCCACCUCCGCCAGCUGUUACCGCUGUUUACCGGUGACGAGUCCUUGCUUCCCCGAAUGCUGAAGUAUAACACCAGAGAAGCAGCAGAGGCAAGGGUAGAGUGGACAGUGGAAGCUUUAUUAAAGGACAGCAGAAGAGACUUCUCCCCGGAGGAAGAAGGGGGCCCGGAAGGCGGAAUCCGUGGAAGGGGGAGUCUUCCCUGUUUUAUAGCUAAGAUCUUCCUUCAGCUUGCCCACCCUCCUGACCUUUGUUUCCCGUUAUCCUGAGUGAUAGAAUGCAGAAAAUCUCCAGCGACUCAAUCGACUGAGAAGUCUGAUGUCCCAGGCUGCUGCCCACAGCUGACCAGGAGUGAGAAAGCAUCCCGUCCAGUAGCCCAGGAGCGCAGGCUGCAUUCCUGCCCUUCCUCCAGGUGACCAGAGCACUGCUGGUGUCCAGGGACAUGUCAUCCUACUGAAGAGGAGAACUGGGCCUUUCUCCUCCCAAGAGGCUGCACAGGUACUUGGUUAUGAAAAGCAGAAUGUGUUGAUUUCUUCCAGGCUAUCAGUUGCUCUCGGUGGAGACGUUGCUUUGGUAACUGCUCCGUCUUGGGAUUUCCCAGCCACCACUGGUGAAUUAGAGCCACACUCUCACAACUCAGAAUCCUCUGUCACUCCCACUUGGAGUGAGGGAGCUUUGCUGUCCAGAGGGACAAGCUGGUCCCACCCCCGUCCACCACAGUGUCUGUGCUCCCGGGUACCAGCGGAUCCCACUGAAGUCUCUGAAAGCCUCCUCUGCAGCUGCUGGCCAUGGGCUUUGUUCUCUGCUGUGAGCCUCCUAUGGCCACAGCCCAUUGCUGGUCUGGCGCCCUGAGCAGGCGGGCCAGCUUGGAUGUUAGCAGUCAGGUGUCUUCUGUUACCGCCCAAGCUCACCGACAUGGCUCUCACGAUGGUGUCUCACUGAAUAUGCUUCUGUCCUGGGUGGAACCCCCUCCCCGUCUCAGGGAAGACUCCUCCAGUGCACCCCAUCCUUGGUGAAGUGGUAAAUUUUAAGUCACGUGUAUUUUGCUCCAAGCAGAAGGAAACAUGUCGCGUUGCCCUUACUCUCCAAGCACAGCUAAAGCAUUCCUGCCCCUUUUCAACCGUUGCUAUGGAAAUUGACCCUUGUGUGAAACCUCGUGGGCAAUGUACCCCACACACAAAGUGCCGCAGAGGAGUGCUGGCCAACUCAGGCAGUCACAAGUUGCUCCUAGACGCCGCACCACUGGCCCUCCUGAACUGCAGGCCACGCAGGGGCACUCUGGAGACUCCACAGAAAGGAGGCCCUGGAGGCCCCCGAUGCCCUCGCUGCUGUCAGCAGCCCCCACCCCAGCAGUGCUGAGCGCCUGGCGUCCCUCCCACAUGGAGGGUUGUGCCUCAGGAGGUCGCAAGGACCUCAAGGACACACACCCUGGUCUCAGCAGACAGCUGGGCCACUGUGGUCCGCGGAGAAAAAUGGCGAAAUUCGAGAUUCAGCAGGAGGAGGCCAGAAGGAGACGGGAGCGUUGAUGAAGAGCACCCACGUGAGGACUCGGCAGCCCGCACCCGACCACUCGCCUGUUUCAUCUCCUGUCUUCAAAGAGGCGCCAGGACGUGGGAGAGGAUGAAAGGGAAAGCGAUGAAAGAAAAUGGCACCACAGAGGCUUGAAGGGCUGAGACGGCGGAGGGGAGGCUGGGAGCCGGCUGGUGGCAGCCUGCAAGUCAGCUGCUCCCGUCUCAGGGACCCCACGCUCUCCUCCGCGCUCUGGAAGACAUGGCUCUAAAGAAGGGGGUGUGGCCCUGAUCCGGGUCUUCCCAGUGCACAAGCAGCUCUAGAGUCCCCAUCUCUGCACCUGCUGGGAAUCAGGGGCAGACAGGAGCGUGCAGGGCCCAGCCUCCCUCCUCACUCCUGGGCACUCAGACAAAAAGGCCUGUGUGUGUCCAAAGGGACAGGUGAAGGCCCACGAGGGCCCCUGAGCUGUGGACAUGGUCCUGCACCAUCAUGGAGAUGCGGGUUUAGCUGUGACAGCUUGUGAAUGGGCUGGAGUUCCCCUUGGCCCAGACCAGGGAGUCCCAGAGGAAACCUAUGCAGCUGUUCCCUGAUCUCCCGCCUCCUGCGGAGUCUUGUUUGCUCCCUGCAGGACAUUUGCACACUCUUUUCACACUGAGGCCAGGGAAGGUCUAAAGUCACAAGAGCUGGUUCCCAGACCAGGCUUCUGGCUCCAAGUUCCAGAACCUUCCACAAGUACACACUGACUGUUCCUCAUCAGUUCAGUCCAUCUGUCCUGACACGGCAGUGAGUCCAGCUGGGGCUGAGGAGUGAAGACAGUUUAAGGUGACUCAGAGAAACUCACUCCUCAGUGAAGACCUGUCCAGACGACAAACGGCUUUGGAACAACUUAGACGUGGAGGUGUGGGUAUUCUCGGGGGCCUUUCUCCUGCAAGUCCCAGUGUGGUCUUCUACCAUUGUGUGGAAAUAUGACGAGUGGUCACCUUGCAUCCUGUGCUUUUGGGGUACACUUUUCAAGUUUCUGUGUUCAAACAUUUUGAAAAUCAGAAGUGAUCACGUGUCCUGAGUUUCAGUUUGAAAGCCACAGUGUGCAAUAGUCACUUCCCUCAGAUUUCUACUGUGGAAAACAAAGCACAUAGCCCUCAAGGUCAGGGACAAAAGCAAAGGCCCCCACCCAGACCCUGACCACAGCUGAGGGCCACAUACCUCUCCCUCCUGCUCAGACAGCCCUGGCUCAAACGUCCUUGAGACACCUCCACAGGUUCAAGACUGAGCAGGGAAGUGGACCCCCAUAGGCCAGAGCGUGUAGAAGCCAAUGCUGAGCCAAGUGUCCCCAGACCUCGAGGCAGAGACUACAGCAGGUGCUAGUGCUGCAUCUUCAGGAAGCACCGGGGCCAGGGUGGCCAAACUAGAAGAUGGUAGAAGAGAGAAAUUCCUAGAGUGGGGCUGAGGGCCUUCCUCCAAGCAAACCCCUCCGUCCCCAGGGUGCAGCUGGCUCUGUUCUACAGGGCCAGUGACACUUAUGACAAGCCCCUGCUGCCACCUCCCUCAGGAGAAGCCACCGGCUGUCCAAGGCCAAGACAGCAUGGCACCCCUCCUGUCUCCCUGGGUUUCUGUGACUGCACAGCAGGCAUCCUGUACUGCUGAACCCCUGUGCUGGGGCAGGAGGCACUGCCAGGGUCCCAACAGGCCCUGUGCAUCACAAGACCUGGGCCCCAGGUUCUGCUCCCUCGGGUGUUGGCUGAGGGUCCUCCUGCUUCAGAUGCAGCCAUGUCUGGGUCCCCCUCAGUUGGGCUGCAGAAGGGGUGGACAGCAGGGCAGGGAGGGGGGAACAGUUUACCCCCUGAACAACUCCUGCACCUCCAGAUACUCAAAGAACAGCUUCUGAAUCAAGUUUAAAAACAGCUGCUCUUCUGAUGAUUUAAGUGAUGUCCUGAGUAUUUGCCUUGAGUGCACAGAGGGCCUGGGUGGGCUGGGACUUUGCCCAGGCAGGACCCUGGGAGACAAGGCUGCUGCACUCCCAGGAGGAGGUGUGCUUUACCUCUCAUCUCAUGUGAGGAGAAUCCAGGAGGUUUGGCAAUGUUGGCAGUGUCUGUAAAUGUUUGCAACAUCAUGUGACAAGGCCAGUUCAGGUGUCUACAAACUGCUGUGGCCCGAGCCCCCUGUGAUUGCCAUGCAGAACCUCGUUAAUCCUGCCACAGGUUGAGAUGUGUCCUCUGUAAGCCAACCAGACAUACAACCUGGAGUUGUUUCUAUCAUCAGAAGAUCAUUUUAACUAUAAUCCAUCAGGAUACAUUUUGAAAACUGGCCUCUGAUGAAGGAUUGGAUGGUAAUGCAGUGCCUGCUUUGAUCUGGAUAAAAUUUAACUUGCCUUAAUAAUCUUUUUCAAUUCCCAUCAAUGUUUCUCUGAGAAUGUUCUGUCUACUGUGAGUGUUGUUGAAACAUAAAACAGAAUUCACUGAGGCUGACAUUUCCCCCUCUGCUCAACUGGGCCAAGAAGCAUCUCAUUUGUUGCAUUAAAAAUAUUAAAAAUGGUUUCAAUAUGCAUUUCCCUGAUUGCUAGAAAUAUUGAACAUUUUUUAGUGUAUUUGUUGGCCAAUUAUAUUUCUUCUUUUCAGAA
Marmota monax (woodchuck) is the source of this 6890-nucleotide long non-coding RNA. RefSeq lists it as uncharacterized. The transcript has 5 exons. NCBI's taxonomy places the organism in Eukaryota, Metazoa, Chordata, Mammalia, Rodentia, Sciuridae. The record is from RefSeq and is a predicted model, not a curated record.